AGUGAACGCUGGCGGUAGGCCUAACACAUGCAAGUCGAACGGCAGCACAGUAAGAGCUUGCUCUUACGGGUGGCGAGUGGCGGACGGGUGAGGAAUAUAUCGGAAUCUACUUUUUCGUGGGGGUUAACGUAGGGAAACUUACGCUAAUACCGCAUACGACCUACGGGUGAAAGCAUGGGAUCUUCGGACCUUGCGCGAUUGAAUGAGCCGAUGUCGGAUUAGCUAGUUGGCGGGGUAAAGGCCCACCAAGGCGACGAUCCGUAGCUGGUCUGAGAGGAUGAUCAGCCACACUGGAACUGGGACACGGUCCAGACUCCUACGGGAGGCAGCAGUGGGGAAUAUUGGACAAUGGGCGCAAGCCUGAUCCAGCCAUACCGCGUGGGUGAAGAAGGCCUUCGGGUUGUAAAGCCCUUUUGUUGGGAAAGAAAAGCAGCAGGUUAAUACCCCGCUGUUCUGACGGUACCCAAAGAAUAAGCACCGGCUAACUUCGUG
RNAcentral lists this ribosomal RNA (492 nucleotides) under uncultured bacterium. RNAcentral describes it as "partial 16S ribosomal RNA". It matches the Rfam family "Bacterial small subunit ribosomal RNA", at positions 29 to 507 of the family's 1533-position model. The record is from RNAcentral.